UAANGAUUUGAGGUCNGACCUGCCCACUGAGGAUUAACCUUGAAGGGCCGCGGUAUUUUGACCGUGCAAAGGUAGCAUAAUCAUUAGUCUUUUAAUUGAAGGCUAGAAUGAAUGGUUGGACGAGGUAUUGACUGUCUCUGUGUAAGUGAUAUUAGAAUUUAACUUUUGAGUGAAAAGGCUUAAAUGUAUUUGGAGGACGAGAAGACCCUAUAGAGCUUUAUAUUUUUUUAUUUAUAGUUGAUUUGGUUGUUUUCUUAUUAUAGGUAAAAAGGUAUUUUGUUGGGGUGACAGGAAGAUAAAAUUAACUCUUUUUAAUUAAGAACAUUUAUUUAUGGUUUAUUGAUCCAUUUUUAGUGAUUAAAAGACUAAGUUACCUUAGGGAUAACAGCGUAAUCUUUUUCGAGAGUUCUUAUCGACAAAAAGGGUUGCGACCUCGAUGUUGGAUUAAGGGUAAUUUUGGGUGUAGAUGUUCAAAGUUUAGGUCUGUUCGACCUUUAAAUCCUUACAUGAUCUGAGUUCAAACCGGAGA
Molecule: ribosomal RNA, 529 nt
Filed under: Neuroperla schedingi
Lineage: Eukaryota; Metazoa; Arthropoda; Insecta; Plecoptera; Eustheniidae
Description: partial 16S ribosomal RNA
Rfam family: Bacterial large subunit ribosomal RNA
Source: RNAcentral